GGGCCUGUGGUCUAAUGGUAUGACACUCCCUUAGCAUGGGAGAGGUCCUGGGUUCGAUUCCCAGCCGGUCCA
This 72-nucleotide transfer RNA is filed under the name Niveomyces insectorum RCEF 264. Its description in RNAcentral is "Sporothrix insectorum RCEF 264 tRNA". It matches the Rfam family "tRNA". From Rfam's summary of the family: Transfer RNA (tRNA) molecules are approximately 80 nucleotides in length. Their secondary structure includes four short double-helical elements and three loops (D, anti-codon, and T loops). Lineage: Eukaryota; Fungi; Ascomycota; Sordariomycetes; Hypocreales; Cordycipitaceae. The record is from Rfam by way of RNAcentral.